This 329-nucleotide ribosomal RNA is filed under the name uncultured eukaryote. RNAcentral describes it as "partial 18S ribosomal RNA". It matches the Rfam family "Eukaryotic small subunit ribosomal RNA", at positions 1470 to 1796 of the family's 1831-position model. The record is from RNAcentral.
CCCUUAGAUGUUCUGGGCCGCACGCGCGCUACAAUGAUGAAUUCAACGAGUUUAUAACCUUGGUUGAAAAGCCUGGGUAAUCUUUUGAACUUUCGUCGUGAUGGGGCUAGACCCUUGCAAUUAUUGGUCUCCAACGAGGAAUUCCUAGUAAACGCAAGUCAUCAGCUUGCAUUGAUUACGUCCCUGCCCUUUGUACACACCGCCCGUCGCACCUACCGAUUGAAUGGUCCGGUGAAAUCUUCGGAUUGAGACUUUGAUUUCUUCACGGAAAACGCUGUUUUAAAAAGUUGAUUAAACCUUACCAUUUAGAGGAGGGUGAAGUCGUAACA